This 428-nucleotide ribosomal RNA is filed under the name uncultured prokaryote. RNAcentral's name for it is "bacterial SSU rRNA". It matches the Rfam family "Bacterial small subunit ribosomal RNA", at positions 355 to 774 of the family's 1533-position model. The record is from RNAcentral.
UGGGGAAUAUUGCGCAAUGGGCGAAAGCCUGACGCAGCGACGCCGCGUGAGGGAAGAAGGCCUUCGGGUCGUAAACCUCUGUCUAGAGGGAAGAAACCAUUGAGGUCGAACAGGCCUCUUUGCUGACGGUACCUCUGAAGGAAGCACCGGCUAACUCCGUGCCAGUAGCCGCGGUAAUACGGAGGGUGCGAGCGUUAACCGGAAUCACUGGGCGUAAAGCGCACGUAGGCGGGGUCGUAAGUCGGAUGUGAAAGCCCUCGGCUCAACCGGGGAACUGCAUUCGAUACUGCGAGGCUUGAGUGCCGGAGAGGGUGGCGGAAUUCCAGGUGUAGGGGUGAAAUCCGUAGAUAUCUGGAGGAACACCAGUGGCGAAGGCGGCCACCUGGCCGGCAACUGACGCUGAGGUGCGAAAGCGUGGGGAUCAAACA